RNAcentral lists this transfer RNA (72 nucleotides) under Sphaerodactylus townsendi. Its description in RNAcentral is "tRNA-Ala". It matches the Rfam family "tRNA". Rfam says of the family: Transfer RNA (tRNA) molecules are approximately 80 nucleotides in length. Their secondary structure includes four short double-helical elements and three loops (D, anti-codon, and T loops). Further hydrogen bonds mediate the characteristic L-shaped molecular structure. tRNAs have two regions of fundamental functional importance: the anti-codon, which is responsible for specific mRNA codon recognition, and the 3' end, to which the tRNAs corresponding amino acid is attached (by aminoacyl-tRNA synthetases). tRNAs cope with the degeneracy of the genetic code in two manners: having more than one tRNA (with a specific anti-codon) for a particular amino acid; and 'wobble' base-pairing, i.e. permitting non-standard base-pairing at the 3rd anti-codon position. The record is from RNAcentral. Lineage: Eukaryota; Metazoa; Chordata; Lepidosauria; Squamata; Sphaerodactylidae.
GGGGCUGUGGAUCAGUGGUAGAGCAACUGCUUGGCAUACAGAAGGUCUCUGGUUCAAUCCCUGGCAUCUCCA